This 496-nucleotide ribosomal RNA is filed under the name uncultured bacterium. RNAcentral describes it as "partial 16S ribosomal RNA". It matches the Rfam family "Bacterial small subunit ribosomal RNA", at positions 29 to 507 of the family's 1533-position model. The record is from RNAcentral.
AUGAACGCUGGCGGCGUGCCUAAUACAUGCAAGUCGAGCGAACAGACGAGGAGCUUGCUCCUCUGACGUUAGCGGCGGACGGGUGAGUAACACGUGGAUAACCUACCUAUAAGACUGGGAUAACUUCGGGAAACCGGAGCUAAUACCGGAUAAUAUAUUGAACCGCAUGGUUCAAUAGUGAAAGACGGUUUUGCUGUCACUUAUAGAUGGAUCCGCGCCGCAUUAGCUAGUUGGUAAGGUAACGGCUUACCAAGGCAACGAUGCGUAGCCGACCUGAGAGGGUGAUCGGCCACACUGGAACUGAGACACGGUCCAGACUCCUACGGGAGGCAGCAGUAGGGAAUCUUCCGCAAUGGGCGAAAGCUUGACGGAGCAACGCCGCGUGAGUGAUGAAGGUCUUCGGAUCGUAAAACUCUGUUAUUAGGGAAGAACAUAUGUGUAAGUAACUAUGCACGUCUUGACGGUACCUAAUCAGAAAGCCACGGCUAACUACGUG